UACGGAGGGUGCAAGCGUUAUCCGGAUUCACUGGGUUUAAAGGGUGCGUAGGUGGGCAGGUAAGUCAGUGGUGAAAUCUCCGGGCUUAACCUGGAAACUGCCAUUGAUACUAUCUGUCUUGAAUACCGUGGAGGUGAGCGGAAUAUGUCAUGUAGCGGUGAAAUGCUUAGAUAUGACAUAGAACACCAAUUGCGAAGGCAGCUCACUACGCGAAUAUUGACACUGAGGCACGAAAGCGUGGGGAUCAAACAGG
Molecule: ribosomal RNA, 253 nt
Filed under: uncultured bacterium
Lineage: Bacteria
Description: partial 16S ribosomal RNA
Rfam family: Bacterial small subunit ribosomal RNA
Source: RNAcentral